UAACGAUACCGGACUCAUCCGAGGCCCGGUAAUCGGAAUGAGUACACUUUAAAUCCUUUAACGAGGAACAAUUGGAGGGCAAGUCUGGUGCCAGCAGCCGCGGUAAUUCCAGCUCCAAUAGCGUAUAUUAAAGUUGUUGCGGUCAAAAAGCUCGUAGUUGGAUCUCGCAGGUUGGGGGCGGUUCAUUAUUUAAUGUUUACUGCUCCAUGAACCUGUGUACUUUUUUUGACAGAGGUUCCAAGGUGCUCUUUAUUGAGUGUCGUGGGAUGCUGUCAGGUUUACUUUGAAAAAAUUAGAGUGCUCAAAGCAGGCUUUACAAGCUUGAAUAUUGGUGCAUGGAAUAAUAGAAUAGGAUGUUGUGUCCUUUUUGUUGGUUGUAGGAUAUUAACAUAAUGAUUAAUAGGGACAGUCGGGGGCAUUAGUAUUCAGACGACAGAGGUGAAAUUCUUGGACCGUUUGAAGACUAACUACUGCGAAAGCAUUUGCCAAGAAUGUUUUCAUUAAUCAAGAACGAAAGUUAGAGGUUCGAAGGCGAUCAGAUACCGCCCUAGUUCUAACCAUAAACGAUGCCAGCUAGCGAUCCGCUUGUGUUUCUUAUAAGGCCAUGCGGGAAGCUUCCGGGAAACCAAAGCUUUUGGGUUCCGGGGGAAGUAUGGUUGCAAAGCUGAAACUUAAAGGAAUUGACGGAAGGGCACCACCAGGAGUGGAGCCUGCGGCUUAAUUUGACUCAACACGGGAAAUCUCACCAGGCCCGGACACUGGAAGGAUUGACAGAUUGAGAGCUCUUUCU
RNAcentral lists this ribosomal RNA (790 nucleotides) under Clavellisa emarginata. RNAcentral's name for it is "SSU rRNA". It matches the Rfam family "Eukaryotic small subunit ribosomal RNA", at positions 477 to 1262 of the family's 1831-position model. The record is from RNAcentral. Lineage: Eukaryota; Metazoa; Arthropoda; Copepoda; Siphonostomatoida; Lernaeopodidae.